CGUAUUCGCCCUUAGAGUUUGAUCCUGGCUCAGGAUGAACUUUGGCGGCGUGCCUAACACAUGCAAGUUGAGCGAGAACCAAAUUAUCUGAAGCUUCGGCUGACGAUGAUUUGGGGAGAGCGGCGGACGGGUGAGUAACGCGUAGGUAACCUGCCCUUCACACAGGGAUAGCCAUCGGAAACGAUGAUUAAUACCUGAUAGUCUUUUUUAUCGCAUGAUAAGAAAGGGAAAGAUUUAUCGGUGAGGGAUGGACCUGCGUCUGAUUAGCUAGUUGGUAGGGUAAUGGCUUACCAAGGCAAUGAUCAGUAGCCGACCUAAGAGGGUGAUCGGCCACACUGGGACUGAGAACGGCCCAGACUCCUACGGGAGGCAGCAGUGGGGAAUAUUGCACAAUGGAGGAAACUCUGAUGCAGCAACGCCGCGUGAGUGAUGAAAUAUUUCGAUAUGUAAAGCUCUGUUCUAGGGGAAGAAAAUGACGGUACCCUAGCAGAAAGCCCCGGCUAACUACGUGCCAGCAGCCGCGGUAAUACGUAGGGGGCAAGCGUUAUCCGGAAUUAUUGGGCGUAAAGCGUACGCAGGCGGCCAAACAGGUUAGAGGUGAAAGACAGGGGCUCAACCCCUGCCAGCCUUUAAAACCAUUUGGCUUGAGCAUAGGAGGGGAAAGUGGAAUUUCUAGUGUAGCGGUGAAAUGCGUAGAUAUUAGAAGGAACACCAAUGGCGAAGGCAACUUUCUGGACUAUGUCUGACGCUGAGGUACGAAAGCGUGGGUAGCGAACAGGAUUAGAUACCCUGGUAGUCCACGCCGUAAACGAUGAAUACUAGGUGUCAGCGAGCGAUCGUUGGUGCCGGCGCUAACGCAAUAAGUAUUCCGCCUGGGGAGUACGGCCGCAAGGCUAAAACUCAAAGGAAUUGACGGGGACCCGCACAAGCAGCGGAGCAUGUUGUUUAAUUCGAGGCAACGCGAAGAACCUUACCAAAUCUUGACAUACUAGUGACCUACACCGUAGUGGUGUACUCUGCUUCGGCAGCACUAGAUACAGGUGGUGCAUGGUUGUCGUCAGCUCGUGUCGUGAGAUGUUGGGUUAAGUCCCGUAACGAGCGCAACCCCUAUUUCUAGUUGCCAUCAGGUAAUGCUGGGCACUCUAGAGAGACUGCCAGAGACAAUCUGGAGGAAGGUGGGGAUGAUGUCAAAUCAUCAUGCCCUUUAUGAUUUGGGCUACAAACGUGCUACAAUGGUCGGUACAACGGGCAGCCAAGCCGCAAGGUGGAGCUAAUCCUAUAAAGCCGAUCCCAGUUCGGAUUGGGGGCUGCAACUCGCCCCCAUGAAGUUGGAGUUGCUAGUAAUCGCGAAUCAGCAUGUCGCGGUGAAUACGUUCCCGGGUCUUGUACACACCGCCCGUCA
Molecule: ribosomal RNA, 1402 nt
Filed under: uncultured bacterium
Lineage: Bacteria
Description: bacterial SSU rRNA
Rfam family: Bacterial small subunit ribosomal RNA
Source: RNAcentral